Molecule: ribosomal RNA, 2655 nt
Filed under: Escherichia coli
Lineage: Bacteria; Pseudomonadati; Pseudomonadota; Gammaproteobacteria; Enterobacterales; Enterobacteriaceae
Description: bacterial LSU rRNA
Rfam family: Bacterial large subunit ribosomal RNA
Source: RNAcentral
ACUAUCAUUAACUGAAUCCAUAGGUUAAUGAGGCGAACCGGGGGAACUGAAACAUCUAAGUACCCCGAGGAAAAGAAAUCAACCGAGAUUCCCCCAGUAGCGGCGAGCGAACGGGGAGGAGCCCAGAGCCUGAAUCAGUGUGUGUGUUAGUGGAAGCGUCUGGAAAGGCGCGCGAUACAGGGUGACAGCCCCGUACACAAAAAUGCACAUGCUGUGAGCUCGAUGAGUAGGGCGGGACACGUGGUAUCCUGUCUGAAUAUGGGGGGACCAUCCUCCAAGGCUAAAUACUCCUGACUGACCGAUAGUGAACCAGUACCGUGAGGGAAAGGCGAAAAGAACCCCGGCGAGGGGAGUGAAAAAGAACCUGAAACCGUGUACGUACAAGCAGUGGGAGCACGCUUAGGCGUGUGACUGCGUACCUUUUGUAUAAUGGGUCAGCGACUUAUAUUCUGUAGCAAGGUUAACCGAAUAGGGGAGCCGAAGGGAAACCGAGUCUUAACUGGGCGUUAAGUUGCAGGGUAUAGACCCGAAACCCGGUGAUCUAGCCAUGGGCAGGUUGAAGGUUGGGUAACACUAACUGGAGGACCGAACCGACUAAUGUUGAAAAAUUAGCGGAUGACUUGUGGCUGGGGGUGAAAGGCCAAUCAAACCGGGAGAUAGCUGGUUCUCCCCGAAAGCUAUUUAGGUAGCGCCUCGUGAAUUCAUCUCCGGGGGUAGAGCACUGUUUCGGCAAGGGGGUCAUCCCGACUUACCAACCCGAUGCAAACUGCGAAUACCGGAGAAUGUUAUCACGGGAGACACACGGCGGGUGCUAACGUCCGUCGUGAAGAGGGAAACAACCCAGACCGCCAGCUAAGGUCCCAAAGUCAUGGUUAAGUGGGAAACGAUGUGGGAAGGCCCAGACAGCCAGGAUGUUGGCUUAGAAGCAGCCAUCAUUUAAAGAAAGCGUAAUAGCUCACUGGUCGAGUCGGCCUGCGCGGAAGAUGUAACGGGGCUAAACCAUGCACCGAAGCUGCGGCAGCGACGCUUAUGCGUUGUUGGGUAGGGGAGCGUUCUGUAAGCCUGUGAAGGUGUACUGUGAGGUAUGCUGGAGGUAUCAGAAGUGCGAAUGCUGACAUAAGUAACGAUAAAGCGGGUGAAAAGCCCGCUCGCCGGAAGACCAAGGGUUCCUGUCCAACGUUAAUCGGGGCAGGGUGAGUCGACCCCUAAGGCGAGGCCGAAAGGCGUAGUCGAUGGGAAACAGGUUAAUAUUCCUGUACUUGGUGUUACUGCGAAGGGGGGACGGAGAAGGCUAUGUUGGCCGGGCGACGGUUGUCCCGGUUUAAGCGUGUAGGCUGGUUUUCCAGGCAAAUCCGGAAAAUCAAGGCUGAGGCGUGAUGACGAGGCACUACGGUGCUGAAGCAACAAAUGCCCUGCUUCCAGGAAAAGCCUCUAAGCAUCAGGUAACAUCAAAUCGUACCCCAAACCGACACAGGUGGUCAGGUAGAGAAUACCAAGGCGCUUGAGAGAACUCGGGUGAAGGAACUAGGCAAAAUGGUGCCGUAACUUCGGGAGAAGGCACGCUGAUAUGUAGGUGAAGCGACUUGCUCGUGGAGCUGAAAUCAGUCGAAGAUACCAGCUGGCUGCAACUGUUUAUUAAAAACACAGCACUGUGCAAACACGAAAGUGGACGUAUACGGUGUGACGCCUGCCCGGUGCCGGAAGGUUAAUUGAUGGGGUUAGCGCAAGCGAAGCUCUUGAUCGAAGCCCCGGUAAACGGCGGCCGUAACUAUAACGGUCCUAAGGUAGCGAAAUUCCUUGUCGGGUAAGUUCCGACCUGCACGAAUGGCGUAAUGAUGGCCAGGCUGUCUCCACCCGAGACUCAGUGAAAUUGAACUCGCUGUGAAGAUGCAGUGUACCCGCGGCAAGACGGAAAGACCCCGUGAACCUUUACUAUAGCUUGACACUGAACAUUGAGCCUUGAUGUGUAGGAUAGGUGGGAGGCUUUGAAGUGUGGACGCCAGUCUGCAUGGAGCCGACCUUGAAAUACCACCCUUUAAUGUUUGAUGUUCUAACGUGGACCCGUAAUCCGGGUUGCGGACAGUGUCUGGUGGGUAGUUUGACUGGGGCGGUCUCCUCCUAAAGAGUAACGGAGGAGCACGAAGGUUGGCUAAUCCUGGUCGGACAUCAGGAGGUUAGUGCAAUGGCAUAAGCCAGCUUGACUGCGAGCGUGACGGCGCGAGCAGGUGCGAAAGCAGGUCAUAGUGAUCCGGUGGUUCUGAAUGGAAGGGCCAUCGCUCAACGGAUAAAAGGUACUCCGGGGAUAACAGGCUGAUACCGCCCAAGAGUUCAUAUCGACGGCGGUGUUUGGCACCUCGAUGUCGGCUCAUCACAUCCUGGGGCUGAAGUAGGUCCCAAGGGUAUGGCUGUUCGCCAUUUAAAGUGGUACGCGAGCUGGGUUUAGAACGUCGUGAGACAGUUCGGUCCCUAUCUGCCGUGGGCGCUGGAGAAUUGAGGGGGGCUGCUCCUAGUACGAGAGGACCGGAGUGGACGCAUCACUGGUGUUCGGGUUGUCAUGCCAAUGGCACUGCCCGGUAGCUAAAUGCGGAAGAGAUAAGUGCUGAAAGCAUCUAAGCACGAAACUUGCCCCGAGAUGAGUUCUCCCUGACUCCUUGA